RNAcentral lists this ribosomal RNA (253 nucleotides) under uncultured bacterium. RNAcentral describes it as "partial 16S ribosomal RNA". It matches the Rfam family "Bacterial small subunit ribosomal RNA", at positions 524 to 776 of the family's 1533-position model. The record is from RNAcentral.
UACGGGGGGAGCAAGCGUUGUUCGGAUUUACUGGGCGUAAAGGGCUCGUAGGCGGCCAACUAAGUCCGACGUGAAAUCCCCAGGCUUAACCUGGGAACUGCGUCGGAUACUGGAUGGCUUGAAUCCGGGAGAGGGAUGCGGAAUUCCAGGUGUAGCGGUGAAAUGCGUAGAUAUCUGGAGGAACACCGGUGGCGAAGGCGGCAUCCUGGACCGGUAUUGACGCUGAUGAGCGAAAGCCAGGGGAGCAAACGGG